GACGAACGCUGGCGGCGUGCUUAACACAUGCAAGUCGAACGGAAAGGCCCUGCUUUUGUGGGGUGCUCGAGUGGCGAACGGGUGAGUAACACGUGAGUAACCUGCCCUUGACUUUGGGAUAACUUCAGGAAACUGGGGCUAAUACCGGAUAGGAGCUCCUGCUGCAUGGUGGGGGUUGGAAAGUUUCGGCGGUUGGGGAUGGACUCGCGGCUUAUCAGCUUGUUUGUGGGGUAGUGGCUUACCAAGGCUUUGACGGGUAGCCGGCCUGAGAGGGUGACCGGCCACAUUUGGACUGGAAUACGGCCCAGACUCCUACUGGAGGCAGCAGUGGGGAAUAUUGCACAAUGGGCGGAAGCCUGAUGCAGCAACGCCGCGUGCGGGAUGACGGCCUUCGGGUUGUAAUCCGCUUUCGCCUGUGACGAAGCGUGAGUGACGGUAAUGGGUAAAGAAGCUCCGGCUAACUACGUG
Molecule: ribosomal RNA, 468 nt
Filed under: uncultured bacterium
Lineage: Bacteria
Description: partial 16S ribosomal RNA
Rfam family: Bacterial small subunit ribosomal RNA
Source: RNAcentral